GGGGGGGGGGCAGCCCCCCCUUUGCCCGGGCUGGCAGUGCCCCACUCACCAGGUGCCUGGGGAGGGGACGGGGACAGGGAUGGGGACAGGGCGGGCGGCCUGGGCAGGGGCGGCCCGUGGCCACAGUAGCGGAGCGGGCAGGCCAAGCACGUUUUGCAACUUCAGGCCAGGAUGCAGGUUUUUCUGGGGCCUCUUUACUGAUGGGAAACCCAACCUGCUACGAAUACGAUGUGGGUGAGGCGGUAUCUCAUUGUGGUGAAAGAUGGUGCAAUAAGAGCGAUUAAUUUUUUUGCAGAAAUACUCACUGUAUUUUCAUCUGUGGCAAGUCCUCUCACAGAGCCUGCAAUCUACCCGAGAACAGGGAGCAGAGACAAAGCACUUGUUUACCAAGUCUGAGCUUGCGGUUGAGAGGAAGGACUGGCAGAACACUUUGUUUUUAACAUCUCUGGCUAAAACCUGCACUGUGCCCCUUUACAUCUCAAACAAUGAUAAAGUGCAGCAGUGGGACAGUAGCAACCUGUGCCAUKUGCUGCCAGAUAGAGAGAGAUGCAGUUAAUUUACAACACAACCCCAGUCAUCGUCCUGCCAACGUUUGCACGCUACCUGAGGUGAUGCUGGACUGUUCAAGCGAUUUCAGUUUGCCUUUCCUCUGGCCACUUUUCAAACAAGCUGGGAAGCCCUUCGUUGGAAGGAUGUCAAAAGAGAACCAGCUGUCCUCUGGGAGGCCUCUGGGAUGUAGUACCAUGGCAAACCAUGCUGAGACAUGGGACACUUAGCAGGUUUGACUUCUCUGGAGCUUUGCAUUGCACCCACAUUAUGCAAAGUGUCUUCCUGACUUUGAGGAGAGGCUUCUGGCUCACUCGCUCUGGAGCUCCGGUCCUGCAAGGAUGCAGUCACAGGCUUUUCUUCCCAUAUAUGGGUAGCUGUUCCGCAUUAAAGUUACGACUGUGGAGUUAAGCAUGUGUAUAAAUGUUUGUAGAAACUGGGCUUUGGGAUAAUAAGGAUCAUGAGUCUCAAAAUGGCCUCUUUUGAGUAUUUUGCGGGCAAAUGUGAGUUUGUCCUGCUCAUUCUCCAAGGAAAACCCAGCUUUGCAGAUAGGUCCGUUGUUAG
RNAcentral lists this long non-coding RNA (1110 nucleotides) under Dromaius novaehollandiae (emu). RNAcentral describes it as "lncRNA (ENSDNVG00000017097.1)". The record is from RNAcentral. Lineage: Eukaryota; Metazoa; Chordata; Aves; Casuariiformes; Dromaiidae.